CAAGAGGUAGUUUAAGUAGAGCGGUAGCUUUGGAAGUUAUUGGUGGGGUGUAUAGCCUGCCCCCUUCUUGA
Molecule: transfer RNA, 71 nt
Filed under: Puncturella cf. parvinobilis
Lineage: Eukaryota; Metazoa; Mollusca; Gastropoda; Lepetellida; Fissurellidae
Description: tRNA-Pro
Source: RNAcentral